Molecule: long non-coding RNA, 323 nt
Organism: Juglans microcarpa x Juglans regia
Lineage: Eukaryota; Viridiplantae; Streptophyta; Magnoliopsida; Fagales; Juglandaceae
Exons: 4
Source: RefSeq, a predicted model, not a curated record
UCCCCUCGGUUGUCGUCGAUGAACAUUGGUGUCAAAAUGUGUUAUUGGUUUGUGAAUUUGUUGUUGGGUAAAGCAAUGUAAUUUGCACCGAAAUGGAAGAGCCCUUUUAUCCAUCAGUUUCUGUUUCUCAUGGGUUUGAGAGCUGUAAAUGGAGGACCAUGGAAUGCCUAUUUAAAUAUGCCUAUGGGCAGGGUGUUUCUUUUUUCUUUCAGCUUCUUUCUUCUUCUUAUUUUUUUCUUUGGAUCUGCUUGUAUUUAUGUGGUGAUUGUCAUCUUCUUUGUUUAUCCGUAAUUUCUUUUGCUUUUUGGUGUACUCAUGUUGUU